GUCUACGGCUAUGCCACCCUGAACAAGCCUGAUGUCUGAUCUCGGAAGUUAAGCAGGGUCGGGCCUGGUUAGUACUUGGAUGGGAGACCAUCUAGGAAGAUGCUGUAGGUA
Molecule: ribosomal RNA, 111 nt
Filed under: Pteropus alecto (black flying fox)
Lineage: Eukaryota; Metazoa; Chordata; Mammalia; Chiroptera; Pteropodidae
Source: RNAcentral